GAUCGAAAGCGUGGGGAGCAAAAGGGAUUAGAUACCCCUGUAGUCCACGCCGUAAACGAUGGAUACUCGGUGUAGGUAGUUUUAAUCGCUAUCUGUGCCCUAGCAAACGCGUUAAGUAUCCCGCCUGAGUAGUACGACCGCAAGGUUAAAACUCAAAGGAAUAGACGGGGAUCCACACAAGCGGUGGAGCAUGUGGUUUAAUUCGACAAUAAGCGAGGAACCUUACCUGGACUUGACAUCCUGAGAAGCUUUCAGAAAUGAGAGUGUGCCUUUUGGAACUCAGUGACAGGUGCUGCAUGGUUGUCGUCAGCUCGUGCCUUGAGGUGUUCGGUUAAGUCCGUUAACGAGCGCAACCCUCGCCAGAUGUUGUAUUUUUCAUCUGGGACUGCCGGUUUUACACCGGAGGAAGGUGAGGAUGACGUCAAAUCAGCAUGGCCCUUAUGUCCAGGGCGACACGCGUGCUACAAUGGCCGGUACAAAGGGUAGCUAAGUUGUAAAGCGGAGCCAAUCCCAUAAAGCUGGUCACAGUUCGGAUUGAGGGCUGCAACCCGCCCUCAUGAAGCUGGAAUCGCUAGUAACCGUAAAUCAGCCAUAUUACGGUGAAUAUGUUCCUGGAUCUUGUACUCACCGCCCGUCAAGCCACGAAAGG
This 649-nucleotide ribosomal RNA is filed under the name uncultured organism. RNAcentral describes it as "bacterial SSU rRNA". It matches the Rfam family "Bacterial small subunit ribosomal RNA", at positions 751 to 1411 of the family's 1533-position model. The record is from RNAcentral.